Alligator mississippiensis (American alligator) is the source of this 2782-nucleotide long non-coding RNA. RefSeq lists it as uncharacterized. The record is from RefSeq and is a predicted model, not a curated record. The transcript has 2 exons. NCBI's taxonomy places the organism in Eukaryota, Metazoa, Chordata, Crocodylia, Alligatoridae.
AGGUCAUCUAGUGCAACUCCCAGAGAUAAGAGUGGUAGUUAGAUGGGCUCUAAUCAGGAAGGUGGCAAAGAAGGCUGAGUUCCUGAGCCCUGCGGUUGUCUACAUUCACUUGAAGAAGUGGAUACUUUUCUUCCCUUAUUUGUUUCUUUUUUAAACUUAAGGUGGUAUGAUAAAAUUUUUUUCCCAACUGGCAAAGAGAAAAUGAAGAGGGAAUGGAAAGAUUUUCAGCUAAGUUCAGAGCCAUAACUACGAAUUUCUCAGAUACAGAAACGCUGCUUCUUCAAGUAGAAAAAAGAAAUCUGUGUGACUGUAUAACUGCAAACAUGCUGAACUGAGUGUUGGAUUACAGCCAGAGGAGUGUCACCUGUUCAAUUGUUUAUAAAAUGCUGCUGUAUAUAAUACAGGCAGUUUUAUGGAGUUCAUAUUGCAAGCAUGUAAGCCCCAGUGUACUGAGAAAAGUGGGGGGUUGUGUCUUAUGCUUGUUUUCUAUAGUUCUCUCUGUUUUCACAUCUUCUGACCUGCUGUUAAGGGCUCAAUUCACUAAACCAGUUGCUUGUUAGUGGAGUGGGGAGAACCUGUUUCCUUUGAUUAAACCAAGCAUAACCCACAGAACAAGUGUGAUGUGGAGAGUUUUGCAGUGUAGCCUGCAGCAGACUUCAUCUCUACUAUGGAAGUGCCACCACUGUGGCUAGGCUAGUCAUGAUGAGCUAAAGCACUGAGUGUUUUUAAGAGGUUUUUAAGACCUGGCUAGACAAAGCCUUGGCUGGCAUGAUCUAGUUGGGGAUGGUCCUACUUUGAGCAGGGGUUGGACUAGAUGACCUCCUGAGGUCUCUUCCAACCCUCAUUUUCUGUGACUCCAUGGCUAUGCUCGGAUCUGUGGCCAUUGAAGGCUCCACCUCCAUUUCAGAGGUGAUAGAAGCUGUUGUCCACUUUCUUUGCAAUGCAAAUUAGGGUGAAACUCAGCCAUGUUAUAACUCCGCAGACUUCAGUGGCAUUAUACCUACUUACACUGGGAUUGAGUUUAGCCCUUAACAAGCUUUGGUUUUCCUGGGAAGCUGUUACCUGGUCUGGUAAAGUAAUAGCUGCCUUGAUUGUAAUUAUGUACCGUCACUACCUACUUAUCACCCCUAUUCAGUCCCCAUCACUUGUAUAAAUACCUAUUUUAACAACCUACAUAACUGGUACAUAUAAGAGGGCAAGGAAAAAAUAACUUGAUGGAGCAGGGAACUCCACACCAAAUUCCCACUGGUAGGAAUGGGAGAAAGGAGUCAUAUUGUCUGUCAUUACCACUAACUCUGUGCAGUGUUUCUUCUCACUGGGACACGGCAUUUCCCACUUGUAUGCUCCCAUGGAGAUAAGUAACAAGAUAUUGAAGUGGCAACUCCUGAAUAGCAAGCUUUAGUAGAUAUAUAAAGCAUCAGAUGAGGAAAGGGGCUGUUUCAGUUUAUGAGGGGUUUAUCUGACAUAGCUGCCUCAGGUAGCAGGGAACUGGAUUCAGUGACCUAGGAGGUCCCUUCAAGUCCUGUGUUCUUAUAUCGCCUGUGCUGCAGGUACAGUUUUUCCCCAUGAUCAUUGCUCAGUAUUUUCUUUGCACUCUGCAAAUCUUGCAUAUUUUUAAAAAUAUGAAAAAGGAAGUGGAAAGGAUAGAAAUAAUUCAUUUAUGCAGGCUUAUUUAUUUAGCUGCUUCUCCUUCAGUCCAUCCUAUAACACCCCACUGCUAGGUCUCCUUCUAGAAGUAGAAUAAUUUACACCCAACCCCCCCACUAACCACUGCCCAACAUUGCUGUAUGUUUAACAAAGCAUCUGUUUUUUCCCCCCCUUUUUCAUCCCUCCCCAGGUUUUUGUGUUAACAUCUCAGCUUGACACUAUGCAACUGAGUUGGAAUAGCUCUGUUAAUUGAACUGGAAAGUGCCAAACACACUUUGGGGUUUUAUAAGCCUGGUAAAUAAUAAUCACCAUUGAAACCAUACUUGCCCAGUGCUGUAGGUUCAUUACAAAAAUGAUUUGAUAAUACACAAGCACAAAAAUGGACCCUUGUCUGCAAUUUAAUCUCCCCUGAGCCAGGCAAAUGCAUGUUUCUUUCCUUUCAGGCAUGAAGAGGUUCUGCAUCCAUAUUCUACCAGCUUGUCUUUCUCAUGGUUACUUGAUGGGAGUGGGAAUGUAGAUGUGCAUAGACCUGGAGAAAUAACUGAGCUUUAAGCCUUGAUUUGGAAGAGGAAAGGCGUGUAGGACAAGAUCCACAAAGGAAUUCCAAGGUGUGGGUGUCAUGAAGCAGAAGAUGCAAAGCUCUACGGUUGUUAAAGAUAAUGCCCCACAAUAAAAAUGUUAUUUUAUAAAAUGAUCUUUUACACUGUGGAGCAGGUGCUGUGGUGAACAUGGUUUAGAGGACCAGUUUAGAAACCUCUGAGGCCCCAGUAUAGCACUGUUUUCUGAAGUCUGCUCUGAGCAAUGCACUUGCUAGAAACCUACCAACACAUCAGUAUGUCUACAUAAGUCUUGAGCUCUUUCUUUUCUUUGAUCGAGUUACAUGAUACGGCACUUGGACUCUCACUUAAGUAGCCAUUCAGUAGCAAACCCAUGUUACAUUAUUUUUUUCUUUGCCAAUAAAGUCUGAAAAUGGAACGGUGCUGAAAACUCACUCUGUAUGCAAGUCUCACUUUUUUGAGUUACCAUAUCAACUGGAAAGAAUGCUGACUUGUUUGUUAUACAACUCUUGCUGCACCAUAAGGUUAGUAGGAUGCAUAUUUCGAGAGAGACUCGCAUUAAAAUUCUUUUCUUUGAA